GGCCUCAUAGUUCAACGGAUAGAACGGAAGUUUCCUAAACUUUAAAUCCAGGUUCGAUUCCUGGUGGGGCCACAA
RNAcentral lists this transfer RNA (75 nucleotides) under Bacteroidota bacterium. Its description in RNAcentral is "Bacteroidetes bacterium (sediment metagenome) tRNA-Arg". It matches the Rfam family "tRNA". From Rfam's summary of the family: Transfer RNA (tRNA) molecules are approximately 80 nucleotides in length. Their secondary structure includes four short double-helical elements and three loops (D, anti-codon, and T loops). Lineage: Bacteria; Pseudomonadati; Bacteroidota. The record is from RNAcentral.